RNAcentral lists this RNase P RNA (422 nucleotides) under Mycobacterium sp. RNAcentral describes it as "RNase P RNA component class A". It matches the Rfam family "Bacterial RNase P class A". Rfam says of the family: Ribonuclease P (RNase P) is a ubiquitous endoribonuclease, found in archaea, bacteria and eukarya as well as chloroplasts and mitochondria. The record is from RNAcentral. Lineage: Bacteria; Bacillati; Actinomycetota; Actinomycetes; Mycobacteriales; Mycobacteriaceae.
CGAGUUGGCCGGGCGGCCGCGGCGCGCCGUUGGUGCGUCGAGGAAAGUCCGGACUUCACAGAGCAGGGUGAUUGCUAACGGCAAUCCGGGGUGACCCGCGGGACAGUGCCACAGAAAACAGACCGCCACCGCGCCCUGAAUUUCAGGGCCGGAGGUAAGGGUGAAACGGUGCGGUAAGAGCGCACCAGCAUCCCGGGUGACCGGGAUGGCUCGGUAAACCCCACCCGAAGCAAGGCCAAAAGGCCGCACCCUGCCUUCGGGCCAAGGGUGCGGCUGCGCAGGCGUUUGAGGGUUGCUCGCCCGAGCCUGCGGGUAGGCCGCUGGAGGCACCCGGCGACGGGUGUCGGAGAUGGAUGGUCGCUGCCGCGUCGCCGCUUGUGCGCGGCGCGGGACAGAAUCCGGCUUACAGGCCAGCUCGUCCG